GGAGCGGAGACCAGGCUCCUCCCCACCUGCCGGCCCUGGUUCCCAGCCCCUAACUCGGCCGGGCCUGCAGAUAGUGCCUCCGUUCGCCCUUCCAGUCAGCUGCGGCCUAACCACCUAACGACAGACAGGCUGAUUUCUAACAUCACAGGUUCGCGUCUAAGAAUGUCGACCCCGAACACAGAACAGGCGGGCCCAUAAGCCCACUGCUCUUUGCUGCGGUGCAGCACUCAGGAGACUGAUAUCGCUCAAGACAUCACCUGUUUAUCAAGUUAAAACUUACUGGAAAUGUUUACUCAUCCAGUGGGACACUCGUGGAGCAAGUUACCUGCAAUCCAAGGUUUCACUGCCUAAGAGGACACCGGGGGCCUGGCAGGCAACAGGGCCCUGGCCAUCAGCUCCAACAGGGCGCCCCGCUCAUGCACAGACCAGCUACAGUGCCCCAGAGAGAACCCCCGGGGUGGGCAGGACCGGGCGCUCCCAGACAGGCACUCACACAGUGCUCUAUCUCAGCCCAAGCCCCCUUCCCUGAACCUCAGAGCCUGAACUCCUCGGAAAGGUGUCUUCCACGGUUCGGCACUAAGGGGAAACAGCCACGUUGCCCCUUAAGAUCAGUGAAACUGCUCACACUCUUCAAACCAGAACUUCAGAGCACUCACUCUGCCAGACCCGAGCUGCCCUCCGACGACAGAUAUUAAAACAGUAGAGGCGAAGCCCUUCGGAGCACACAGAGACAGAGAGGUGACGCGCGGUCCGGCCUUCGGGAUGAACUUCCAGGGUGAGAAGCAGCCACGGAGCCUGAGACCCCAGGGGGUGCGCUGAAUGGUACGGGAUUGAUCCGGUGAGAGAUUCCAUGGCUUCCGGGGCUGGGGUGUGAUCGGGAUUCGCUUUAAAAUACUCCAGAAGGGAAAGCCGGACAUAGGCAGGUGUGGUGGACACUGAAUCCAGCACCUUGGGAGGCUGAGGCAGGAGGAUCUUUGGUUUAAACCCAGUCUGGGCAAUUAAGUGAUUUAGCAAGAACCUGUCUCAAAAUAAAACAAAAAAAUUUACAAAGGUGCUGGGCAUGAUAGUGCAGGGCUGUAAUUCCAGCACUCUGGGAGGCUGAAGCAGGAGGAUCACAAAUUUGAAAUCAGCCUGGGCAAUUUAAUGACUUAGCAAGAUAUUAUCUCAAAAUAAAAAGGGCCAGGGAGGUAGC
This is a long non-coding RNA of Heterocephalus glaber (naked mole-rat), 1192 nucleotides long. RefSeq lists it as uncharacterized. Lineage: Eukaryota; Metazoa; Chordata; Mammalia; Rodentia; Bathyergidae. The record is from RefSeq and is a predicted model, not a curated record.